GCGCCGUCUCUAUGGUCUGGCGCGGCCGCGGGCCUCCCUCGCGCGGCCUGGUCGCCAGGGGGCGCGCUGGCUGGCGCCGCCGACUCUGAGUGCGCGGCUCGACCGCGUCCGCCAUAUUGGAUGCCGCAGCCGCCGCGGUCAGCGCUUCCUCCUGUGUCUUCGCUGCGCGCUGCAGGUUCCCGCGGCCUAGGCGGCAGGGAGGUGACCCAGGAGCCCGUGGGAGGAAGAGGAAGGAGGAGAAGGGGGUGGAGAGUGGAGGGGGCCGAAGCUUGAGUGUGGAGGCCGCUUCCGAGCGGGGCGGAGAAGCAGAGAAGGCGCCGCGCCAGCCCCUCCCCCGCCGCCGACCCGCCCCGGCGGCCUCGGUCCUGCUCGCUGCGCCCGCCCCGCGGCCAUGCCGGAGCCUCGCCGGCGCUGAGGAGCGUCGCCUGCUCACAGUGUUCCGCGGCCUCCCCGGCCCGUCGCCCGCCUUUCCGCACGCAACGCGCCCGGUCGCCGCCUCUCCCUUCGCCGGGCCCCGGGCCUCUGCGCAGACAACAUGGAGGCCGUGAAGACCUUCAACAGCGAGUUGUAUUCGCUGAAUGACUAUAAGCCACCCAUUUCUAAAGCAAAAAUGACCCAGAUUACAAAGGCAGCCAUCAAAGCUAUUAAGUUCUAUAAACAUGUGGUACAAAGUGUUGAGAAAUUCAUUCAGAAAUGUAAACCAGAAUACAAGGUACCUGGACUGUAUGUUAUUGACUCCAUUGUGCGACAAUCCCGGCAUCAGUUUGGUCAAGAAAAGGAUGUGUUUGCACCCAGAUUUAGUAAUAACAUCAUUAGCACUUUUCAGAAUUUAUAUCGUUGCCCUGGGGAUGACAAGAGUAAAAUAGUGAGAGUAUUAAACUUGUGGCAGAAGAAUAAUGUCUUUAAGAGUGAGAUUAUCCAGCCUCUUCUGGAUAUGGCGGCAGGGAUUCCUCCACCAGUUGUCACCCCUGUUUUGGCCAGCACCACUGCAGCUAUGAGCAACACUCCAGGAACACCUGUGACACCUGUUACUCCAGCCAAUGUGGUCCAAGGCUUACCUGACCCAUGGGUAUCCCAGAUAACAAACACAGACACAUUGGCAGCAGUUGCUCAGAUCCUACAGAGUCCUCAAGGUCAACAGCUUCAGCAGCUAAUCCAGACCUUACAGAUACAGCAGCAGAAGCCUCAGCCUUCUAUCCUGCAGGCCUUGGAUGCUGGGCUUGUGGUUCAGUUACAGGCGCUCACGGCACAGCUCACGGCUGCAGCUGCUGCAGCCAACACACUUACGCCCUUGGAUCAGGGAGUCUCUUUCAACAAGAAGUUGAUGGAUAGAUUUGAUUUUGGGGAAGAUUCUGAGCAUAGUGAAGAAUCCAAAAAGGAAAUUCCUACUCCUCAACUCUCUCAUGUUUCGGAGUCUGUGAACAACUCCAUUUUCCAUCAGAUCGCAGAGCAGCUGCAGCAGCAGAAUCUGGAGCAGUUGCGGCAACAGCUCCUGGAGCAGCAGCAGCCUCAGAAGGUAACUCCUCAAGAUAGCCAGGAGGGGACAUUUGGGUCCGAGCAUUCCGCUUCACCCUCACAAGGGAGCAGCCAACAGCAUUUUCUGGAACCUGAAGCAAAUUUAGAUGAUUCCAUAGACAUUCAGCAACAGGAUAUGGAUAUUGAUGAAGGGCAAGAUGUUGUUGAAGAGGAAAUCUUUGAACCAGAAGCUAAGAAAGUAGCUGUUCGCUCAAGAUCAAGAACUCACUCACGAUCUCGAUCAAGGUCACCAAGAAAACGAAGGUCCAGGUCCCGCUCUGGGUCCCGAAAGCGAAAGCACAGGAAGCGGUCUCGUUCCCGCUCAAGAGAGAGAAAGAGAAAAUCCUCACGUUCCUAUUCAAGUGAACGCAGAGCCAGGGAAAGGGAGAAAGAACGCCAAAAAAAGGGCUUGCCUCCUGUCAGAUCGAAAACACUAAGUGUAUGCAGCACUACUCUCUGGGUUGGCCAAGUGGACAAGAAGGCUACACAGCAAGAUUUAACCAACCUUUUUGAGGAGUUUGGACAAAUUGAAUCCAUUAAUAUGAUUCCACCCAGGGGCUGUGCAUAUGUCUGUAUGGUUCAUCGACAAGAUUCAUUUCGGGCUCUUCAGAAACUGAGUUCAGGAUCUUAUAAAAUUGGUUCCAAGGUCAUUAAGAUUGCCUGGGCUUUGAACAAAGGUGUAAAGACAGAAUACAAACAGUUCUGGGAUGUGGAUCUUGGUGUCACAUAUAUACCCUGGGAAAAAGUUAAAGUAGAUGACUUGGAUGGCUUUGCAGAGGGAGGCAUGAUUGAUCAGGAAACUGUAAAUGCUGAAUGGGAAACUGUGAAAGCCUCAGAACCAGCUAAAGAGACGGUCCAGACUACACAGAGUCCAAGUCCAGUUGAAAAGGAGUCAGUGGUCACAACGCAGGCGGAGGUUUUCCCUCCUCCUGUUGCCAUGCUGCAGAUUCCCGUAGCACCAGCUGUUCCUGCAGUUAGCUUAGUUCCUCCAACGUUUCCUGUGUCGAUGCCUGUCCCCCCUCCUGGAUUCAGCCCGAUCCCUCCACCUCCAUUUCUGCGAGCAAGUUUUAACCCUUCACAACCACCUCCUGGUUUUAUGCCACCUCCAGUUCCCCCACCUGUGGUACCUCCCCCCGCAAUCCCACCUGUAGUACCAACAUCUUUAGUGCAACCACCAUUGUCCAUGACCCCAGAAACUGUGAAAGAUGUUGGAUUUGGCAGCCUGGUUUUACCAGGUGGUUCUGUUGCUGGCAGUCUUGCUCCCUCAACUCUACCAGCAGGGAAUGUUUUUAAUCCUCCCAGUAAAGCAGAGCCUGAAGAAAAAGUACCUCACCUGACAGAGCACCAGAUCCCUUCUGCUGAGAAUGCCAGACCAGUGAUUCCAAGUGAUAUUCCAAAUAGUGCUGCAAUGUUAGCACAGCCGCCUGGGGCCUCAAGCACCUCUGGGAUCCUGUGCGUGCAGAGACCAAACGUAUCAAGUAAUUCUGAAAUUCUGGGGGUUCGUCCAGCUAAUGUUUCCAACAGUGCUGCAAUUAUGGGAGCCCAGCCACCAAAUAUUCUAAAUAACUCUGGAAUUUUGGGCAUACAGCCACCAAAUGUGUCCAGUGGCUCUGGACUUCUCGGGGUACUGCCUCCAAACUUGCCUAAUAACUCUGGACUUGUAGGACUACAGCCACCAAAUGUUACAAAUCCUGCUGGACUUUUGGGAACACAGCCACCAAUUGGACCUCAAAACUUACCGCCCUUAACCAUCCCUGCUCAAAGGAUGCCUGCAUUGCCAAUGUUAGACAUUCGUCCAGGACUGAUAGCACAGGCUCCCGGGCCAAGAUUCCCUUUACUACAGCCUGGAAUUCCACCACAACGGGGUAUCCCUCCCCCAUCGGUACUUGAUGCAGCUCUUCAUCCUCCACCCCGUGGACCUUUUCCUCCAGAUCUUUUCAGUCAACCAGAAAGACCUUUUCUGGCUCCUGGAAGACCAAGUAUAGACAGUAUUCCCACCCCAGAUAAAAGAAUACCACUUGGGAAUGACAAUAUUCAGCAGGAAGGGGAUAGAGAUUACCGCUUUCCUCCUAUGGAAACCAGGGAGGGCAUUACUAGACCUCCUCCGGUGGAUGUUAGGGAUGUGGUUGGGCGACCUAUAGAUCCCAGAGAAGGCCCUGGAAGGCCUCCGUUAGAUGGUAGGGAUCAUUUUGGAAGACCUCCUGUGGACAUGAGGGAGAAUCUUGUGAGGCCAAGUCUAGACCACCUUGGUCGAAGAGACCACUUUGGCUUUCCCCCAGAGAAGCCUUGGGGGCCUAGAGAUUUUGAUGAGAGAGAGCAUCGAGUUCUGCCUGUCUUUGGUGGUCCAAAAGGCUUACAUGAAGAAAGAGGUAGAUUUCGGGCUGGAAAUUACCGAUUUGAUCCUAGAAGUGGUCCUUGGAACAGGGGAUUUGGACAAGAAGUUCACAGAGAUUUUGAUGACCGCAGAAGACCCUGGGAGAGGCAGAGGGAUAGGGAUGACAGAGAUUUUGAUUUCUGCAGAGAAAUUAAUGGAAAUCGUCUUGGACGAGAUAGAAUUCAAAACACUUGGGUUCCUCCUCCUCAUGCUCGGGUUUUUGAUUAUUUCGAAGGGGCCACUUCUCAACGGAAAGGUGAUAAUGUGCCUCAAGUUAAUGGUGAAAAUACAGAGAGACAUGCUCAGCCACCGCCUUUACCAGUACAGAAGGACCCUGAACUCUAUGAGAAACUGGCGUCUUCAGGUGACGUAGACAAGGAGGAGAGCGGCACAGUUGCUGGUGUAGAGAGUGAAGCGGUGGUAGAAAGCACAGAGACUGAGGGGACAUAACAUCACUCAGUAGUUGUUCCUGUGCUUAUUCAGUGAGCUUCCCUCUGCUGGCCCAAUAUUCUCUUCUGGAGUAAUCACCUGCAGCUACCCUUCUUAGCAAGAUGAUGAAUGAAGUCCUGGCAGCCUCCAGUGUCCCAGGCCUUGUAGAAAUAAGUGAGACAGACGCGCUUCAAAGUUCUAAUGAGCGUCACACCGGAAGCAUUAAAAGGAGCCCCGAGCCCCGCCGCUGCCUGUUGAGAAGGCUCUGUGCUCUCAGGCGUGGUUUCUGAUUGAAUGCAGAGGUCACACGCAUGCCUCCCUCUAUUACCUGUCGGAGCAGGUUUAAUUUUAUAAAUUCUAGACACAAACUCUAUGAGUUUCUAGUUCAUAGUUGUUCUUUUUGAGGAUCCACUCAGACGAACAGUAUUACAUCUGUAAGAGAUACGCGCUCUCCCACUGCCCACAACUAGUUGAGGACUCACUGGCGACGAACUCCAUCAGUAGCAUCGCCAGGUGCAUGAUGGGAAGGACAAAGGGCGAGGAAAACCCUCCCCUGGAGACUCAUACAGAUGGCCAGACCCAUAGUGUUACUACACCAGCGAUUUUUUCCCCCCUUGAACACAGUAACUUACUACUGUAAAGCCAUGUACAAAAGCCUGGCUGUGGCUUCAAUCCAUCGUUAUUACUUCCUUCCUUGAACACUCAAAAACUCUGAAAGUUGUUCAGAGUUUCAUUUUCUUAAAAUCCUUUUUAAUGGAUCUUUGAGGAAAAAUCCAAGGUUCAGCACACCACCCUGAACCCUUUGCUCCGGCCUUGUCCUGUCACGCAAGCAGCAGACACACUGGCCGAGAUGAGAAGCCUUGUGGGAGAGGGAGGGAAACUGAUAAUCAGGCCUACUGCAUGGUAGUUUACCACACUUCAUGAAUCAUUUCCCAGGAGCUUCUAACUGAGGCAAAGAUGGUGGUAGUCUGCUGCAGAACAUCAGACCUGAUUUCUGUCUUUGGCAUCUACCAGUGUUCACACAAUACCUGGGGGAGGGAGACUCCAAAAAUUCAAAUGUGAGCACCGUUUAUACCCCAAAAGAAUAUUUUUAAUCAUUCUUUUGCUUGUUUUGUCAAAAAAAAAAAUUAAAGUGCUUGGAAUUCUUUAUCUGUGGUCCCUUGGAAUGUAAUCAAUGAGAACUCUAACCUCCAACAGUAUGAUCUCACUUUGGACAUUCAUAAUAAAAGCUGAAACUCA
RNA transcript from Mastomys coucha (southern multimammate mouse), 5557 nucleotides. It is a transcript of the gene named SR-related CTD associated factor 8, with no coding region annotated. Lineage: Eukaryota; Metazoa; Chordata; Mammalia; Rodentia; Muridae. The record is from RefSeq and is a predicted model, not a curated record. The transcript has 22 exons.